UUGCAAAAUGGGCGAAAGCCCGAUGCAGCAACGCCGCGUGGGCGAUGAAGGCCUUCGGGUCGUAAAGCCCUUUUUGAGGGGAUGAGGAAGGACAGUACCCUCAGAAUAAGCCUCGGCUAAAUACGUGCCAGCAGCCGCGGUAAAACUUAGGAGGCGAGCGUUAUCCGGAUUUACUGGGCGUAAAGCGCGUGCAGGAGGAUUGGAGAGUUGGAUGUGAAAGCUCCCGGCUUAACUGGGAGAGGUCGUUCAAUACUUCCAGUCUUGAGUGCAGUAGAGGGAAGUGGAAUUCCGGGUGUAGUGGUGAAAUGCGUAGAUAUCCGUAGGAACACCAGUGGCGAAAGCGGCUCUCUGGCCUGUAACUGACGCUGAGGCGCGAAAGCGUGGG
Molecule: ribosomal RNA, 385 nt
Filed under: uncultured bacterium
Lineage: Bacteria
Description: bacterial SSU rRNA
Rfam family: Bacterial small subunit ribosomal RNA
Source: RNAcentral